AAAGGGUGCGCAAGCGGAAUAGUAAGUCAGAGGUGAAAGCCCACAGCUCAACUGUGGAAUUGCCUUUGAUACUGUUAUUCUUGAGUGUAGUUGAAGUAGNCGGAAUAUAGCAUGUANCGGUGAAAUGCAUAGAUAUGCUAUAGAACACCAAUUGCGAAGGCAGCUUGCUAAACUAUAACUGACGCUGAGGCACGAAAGCGUGGGGAGCGAACAGGAUUAGAUACCCUGGUAGUCCACGCCGUAAACUAUGAACACUCGCUGUUGGCAAUACACAGUCAGCGGCUGAGCGAAAGCGUUAAGUGUUCCACCUGGGAAGUACGAUCGCAAGGUUGAAACUCAAAGGAAUUGACGGGGGCCCGCACAAGCGGAGGAGCAUGUGGUUUAAUUCGAUGAUACGCGAGGAACCUUACCUGGGCUUAAAUGUAUAUUGACGUACUGAGAAAUCAGUAUUUCUUCGGACAAUUUACAAGGUGCUGCAUGGUUGUCGUCAGCUCGUGCCGUGAGGUGUCGGGUUAAGUCCCAUAACGAGCGCAACCCCUACUUCUAGUUACCAGCAUUUCGGAUGGGGACUCUAGAGGAACUGCCUACGCAAGUAGAGAGGGAGGUGGGGAUGACGUCAAAUCAGCACGGCCCUUAUGUCCAGGGCUACACACGUGCUACAAUGGCCGGUACAGAGGGCAGCUACAUAGCAAUAUGAUGCUAAUCUCAAAAGCCGGUCUCAGUCCGGAUUGGAGUCUGCAACUCGACUCCAUGAAGCUGGAUUCGCUAGUAAUCGCACAUCAGCAAUGGUGCGGUGAAUACGUUCCCGGGCAUUGUACACACCGCCCGUCAAGCCAUGGAAGUUGGGGGUACCUGAAGUCGAUUGCCGUAAGGCGUUGCCUAGGGUAAGCCAAUGACUGGGGCUAAGUCGUCACAAG
This 917-nucleotide ribosomal RNA is filed under the name uncultured organism. RNAcentral's name for it is "bacterial SSU rRNA". It matches the Rfam family "Bacterial small subunit ribosomal RNA", at positions 562 to 1495 of the family's 1533-position model. The record is from RNAcentral.